Molecule: ribosomal RNA, 441 nt
Filed under: uncultured bacterium
Lineage: Bacteria
Description: bacterial SSU rRNA
Rfam family: Bacterial small subunit ribosomal RNA
Source: RNAcentral
AUGAACGCUGGCGGCGUGGGUAAGGCAUGCAAGUCAAGGGGCCCGCAAGGGCACCGGCAAACGAGGUAGUAAUAAGUAGGUAUGAACCUAGAAGUCAGGAAUAGCUAUCCGAAAGGAUAGGUAAUACUUGAUAGUCUCCGCCAAUUGGCGGAGUAAAGAUUUAUCGCUUCUAGAUCGGCCUGCUCGAUAUCAGCUAGUUGGUGAGGUAAUGGCUCACCAAGGCUAUGACGUCUAGGGGACCUGAGAGGGUGAUCCCCACCGAUGGUACUGAGAUACGGACCAUACACCUACGGGUGGCCGCAGUCGAGAAUCUUCCGCAAUGGGCGAAAGCCUGACGGAGCGACGCCGCGUGGUUGAUGAAGCUCUUCGGAGCGUAAAAACCUUUUAUCGGGGAGAAAGUUUAUUGAUAGUACCCGAUGAAUAAGAGGUUGCUAAACUCGU